GACGAACGCUGGCGGCGUGCUUAACACAUGCAAGUCGAACGGAGAGGCCCUGCUUUUGUGGGGUGCUCGAGUGGCGAACGGGUGAGUAACACGUGAGUAACCUGCCCUUGACUUUGGGAUAACUUCAGGAAACUGGGGCUAAUACCGGAUAGGAGCUCCUGCUGCAUGGUGGGGGUUGGAAAGUUUCGGCGGUUGGGGAUGGACUUGCGGCUUAUCAGCUUGUUGGUGGGGUAGUGGCUUACCAAGGCUUUGACGGGUAGCCGGCCUGAGAGGGUGACCGGCCACAUUGGGACUGAGAUACGGCCCAGACUCCUACGGGAGGCAGCAGUGGGGAAUAUUGCACAAUGGGCGGAAGCCUGAUGCAGCAACGCCGCGUGCGGGAUGACGGCCUUCGGGUUGUAAACCGCUUUCGCCUGUGACGAAGCGUGAGUGACGGUAAUGGGUAAAGAAGCACCGGCUAACUACGUG
RNAcentral lists this ribosomal RNA (468 nucleotides) under uncultured bacterium. RNAcentral's name for it is "partial 16S ribosomal RNA". It matches the Rfam family "Bacterial small subunit ribosomal RNA", at positions 28 to 507 of the family's 1533-position model. The record is from RNAcentral.